Molecule: ribosomal RNA, 486 nt
Filed under: uncultured Legionella sp.
Lineage: Bacteria; Pseudomonadati; Pseudomonadota; Gammaproteobacteria; Legionellales; Legionellaceae
Description: bacterial SSU rRNA
Rfam family: Bacterial small subunit ribosomal RNA
Source: RNAcentral
GAGGACGGCCAGCCACACUGGGACUGAGACACGGCCCAGACUCCUACGGGAGGCAGCAGUGGGGAAUAUUGGACAAUGGGGGGAACCCUGACCCAGCAAUGCCGCGUGUGUGAAGAAGGCCUGAGGGUUGUAAAGCACUUUUAGUGGGGAGGAGGGUUGAUAGGUUAAGAGCUAAUUAACUGGACGUUACCCACAGAAACAGCACCGGCUAACUCCGUGCCAGCAGCCGCGGUAAUACGGAGGGUGCGAGCGUUAAUCGGAAUUACUGGGCGUAAAGGGUGCGUAGGUGGUUGUAUAAGUUAUCUGUGAAAUCCCCGGGCUCAACCUGGGCAGGUCAGAUAAGACUGUAUGACUGGAGUAUAGGAGAGGGUAGUGGAAUUUCCGGUGUAGCGGUGAAAUGCGUAGAGAUCGGAAGGAACACCAGUGGCGAAGGCGGCUACCUGGCCUAAUACUGACACUGAGGCACGAAAGCGUGGGGAGCAAACA